UUUCCUAAGAGUGGCGGAGGGUGAUAUGUCUGGAACUGCCUGAUGGAGGGGGAUAACUACUGGAAACGGUAGCUAAUACCGCAUAACGUCGCAAGACCAAAGAGGGGGACCUUCGGGCCUCUUGCCAUCGGAUGUGCCCAGAUGGGAUUAGCUAGUAGGUGGGGUAACGGCUCACCUAGGCACGAUCCCUAGCUGGUCUGAGAGGAUGACCAGCCACACUGGAACUGAGACACGGUCCAGACUCCUACGGGAGGCAGCAGUGGGGAAUAUUGCACAAUGGGCGCAAGCCUGAUGCAGCCAUGCCGCGUGUAUGAAGAAGGCCUUCGGGUUGUAAAGUACUUUCAGCGGGGAGGAAGGGAGUAAAGUUAAUACCUUUGCUCAUUGACGUUACCCGCAGAAGAAGCACCGGCUAACUCCGUGCCAGCAGCCGCGGUAAUACGGAGGGUGCAAGCGUUAAUCGGAAUUACUGGGCGUAAAGCGCACGCAGGCGGUUUGUUAAGUCAGAUGUGAAAUCCCCGGGCUCAACCUGGGAACUGCAUCUGAUACUGGCAAGCUUGAGUCUCGUAGAGGGGGGUAGAAUUCCAGGUGUAGCGGUGAAAUGCGUAGAGAUCUGGAGGAAUACCGGUGGCGAAGGCGGCCCCCUGGACGAAGACUGACGCUCAGGUGCGAAAGCGUGGGGAGCAACAGGAUAGAUACCCUGUUAUCAAA
RNAcentral lists this ribosomal RNA (708 nucleotides) under uncultured Escherichia sp. RNAcentral describes it as "bacterial SSU rRNA". It matches the Rfam family "Bacterial small subunit ribosomal RNA", at positions 85 to 798 of the family's 1533-position model. The record is from RNAcentral. Lineage: Bacteria; Pseudomonadati; Pseudomonadota; Gammaproteobacteria; Enterobacterales; Enterobacteriaceae.